Molecule: long non-coding RNA, 302 nt
Filed under: Trifolium pratense (red clover)
Lineage: Eukaryota; Viridiplantae; Streptophyta; Magnoliopsida; Fabales; Fabaceae
Description: long non-coding RNA (TPRA_LNC010064)
Source: RNAcentral
CUAGGAAACCCGUGAUCAUAAGUGAUUUGCUCACUCCACUAGAAGAGAAUGACUUGUUAAAAGAAGCGGAGAAAGUGAAUGACGACCUAGGAUGGGACUCGGAUGGUGUGGUUCCUAUCUAUUGUUUGCACAAGAUGGCCAAAGAAGAAGAGCCCGAUCCGGUUGUAAAUCCUCAAAAGUCUUCCACUUCAACAUUGAAAGCUUCGGUGAGGAAAGGCUCUAAGAAAUCUCCAUCACGGUCUAGUAAGAAGGAAAGAACCAAUUUGACGACCAAAGGGGAAGAUCUCAAGAGCGAUUCGGGA